CCGGAAGAGAGGCUGGAUGCUACCCCAAGAUCAUUACAGAAGGCUUGCCAUAUCUGAGACGAGAGCAGGGAAACAAUGUCAAUGGGGAUGCCAUGGAGCUUGAAAACAUGGCUGACCAGGAUGUCAGCAGUCUCAAGGGCGGAGGGAAGUUGGGGUAGAAGAAUGAAAUGAACCAUCUUGGAGGAUCGGUCAACUGUGGUCAAUAUGACUUGGUUUCCAUCGGAGGGAGGCAGACCAGAGAAGAAAUCGAUUGACAGGUGGGACUAGGGAUGGUUAGGGAUGGGUAGAGGUUGCCUAUGGGGCGAUGGUGAGAGGACUUCCCUCGAGAGCAGAUAAAGCAUGCCGGGACAAACGUCCUGAUAUCCCGGGCCCCCCUGGACCAGCAAAAGAAUUGUCGAAAGAACUGGACUGUUCUAGUCACCUCAGUAUUGUAGUAGUGCUAACUUGGAAGAGUGUCCCUAUGGCAAGCUAUUGCGAGCAGACAAAAUUCAGGAUGAAAGCUGUGCAUUUAGGCACUUGGCAGAUCGCAGAUGUGUGAGGUUUUAGUGAUCUGUUCGUACUAGAAAGGGAUCUCAGCUCCAUCCAGCCAAUUUCUUCAUUCCUGGGCACCACAGCCAACAGUUCACUGUUGCCGAAAAUACAAGUACAGUAAAAGGUUCUUCACCCGCGGCAGCAGGCAUCUCGGGGCUUUUAGAAGACUGGGUGACCAGUUGAGGAGUGGUACAAGGGAAGGAGGGCAUGUCUAGCGCUCCAACGACUUUCUCUUAUGCGAUUGUCAAUCCGAAUCACCACGGAAUUAAUUGCUCCUCCUGAGUGGACAGCUGAUCAUGAAGCUCCGAUCGUCCGCAAACAAAAGCUGCUUUUUGCUAGCCUCAUUUCAUCACUCCCAAAGGCCAAAAUCUUGAACUCAAUGGUAUAGUUUGCAGCUGACUGAGAGCCCUGAUGUAAUGACAUUGGCCGUUUGCCGAAGGAUUGAUUAAUAAAGGGCUGAUCAAAGACUUAGUAAAAGAGGUACGUAAAUGAUU
Long non-coding RNA from Hippocampus zosterae (dwarf seahorse), 1025 nucleotides. RefSeq lists it as uncharacterized. The record is from RefSeq and is a predicted model, not a curated record. NCBI's taxonomy places the organism in Eukaryota, Metazoa, Chordata, Actinopteri, Syngnathiformes, Syngnathidae. The transcript is spliced from 3 exons.